GAGUUUGAUCUUGGCUCAGAGUGAACGCUGGCGGUAGGCCUAACACAUGCAAGUCGAACGGCAGCACAGUAAGAGCUUGCUCUUAUGGGUGGCGAGUGGCGGACGGGUGGGGAAUACAUCGGAAUCUACUUUUUCGUGGGGGAUAACGUAGGGAAACUUACGCUAAUACCGCAUACGACCUACGGGUGAAAGCAGGGGAUCUUCGGACCUUGCGCGAUUGAAUGAGCCGAUGUCGGAUUAGCUAGUUGGCGGGGUAAAGGCCCACCAAGGCGACGAUCCGUAGCUGGUCUGAGAGGAUGAUCAGCCACACUGGAACUGAGACACGGUCCAGACUCCUACGGGAGGCAGCAGUGGGGAAUAUUGGACAAUGGGCGCAAGCCUGAUCCAGCCAUACCGCGU
This 399-nucleotide ribosomal RNA is filed under the name uncultured microorganism. Its description in RNAcentral is "bacterial SSU rRNA". It matches the Rfam family "Bacterial small subunit ribosomal RNA", at positions 9 to 402 of the family's 1533-position model. The record is from RNAcentral.